ACAUAGCGGUUCAAAGCUGUAUAACUUUAACAUUCAUCCUCGCUAUCGAAGGAAUAAUAUAUGAUCACAAGAAGCUUCUGUUUAACCCGAUGCCCCAAUCGAAUUUCCUUGAUUCCAGUCGUAAGUAUGAGGAGGUAACGAAGCUGUCAGAGUAUAAGUUUGAGAACUGUGGAAAUGUAUCUGGCGAGAACUUCAUCGUCACAAACCUGGUCUUUUCCCCCGACCCGCUUGUCUUUCCUGGGACGUUCAAUUUGUCCUUCGAAGCUGAACUCAAGAAAGACGUACCAGACAACCUCAAGGCUGUCGUUCAGAUGUCUGAGAGAGUUAAUAACCAGGAUGUACCACUACCGUGUGUAGGGAAUGUUGGUAGCUGCGUCUACGACGACCUGUGCACCAUCCUCAAAGAUGUCGAGUGUCCCCAGGAAUUUGGAACUGCUAAUGUGCCGUGUAAAUGCCCCCUUCAAAGCGGGCAACUACAGCCUCCCCGUGGCAACGUUCAACGUGUACACAGCCUUCCUGCUUCCCGGUGUCUACACCAUCACUGUCAGCCUCACACACAACGACAUCUACCUCGGAUGCUACAAACUCGUAGCAACGUUCGCUUGUAAGCUUUGUAUAGGUCAUUUUUCAAGAGAUCAUUGUAUUGGAGUAGUUCAAUGCAAGAGGUAUUCGUGUAGGAUUGUCAUAUGACGGUCCGUGUCUUAUUAGAAGCAUUUGUAUGAAAACAAUAUUCAAAUAUUGGAGUAUAGAACACGCCCAUGGUCAAAUAUGUUGUCCAGUGUGGAGACCCGUCAGCGUGACAUCGCAUCCGUCAUCACUCGACCCUUGCCCUAGACUACAAGAAGAAGGUUUAAGAGAGUAAGGCCUAAUAUGGCGUCAGCCUUGACAGAUGAGGUUCGAUAAGAAGCGAAAAGGUCUUUUUUAGAUGUAAGGCGACUAUUCGGGUUUUCUGUGUCAACUUUUAAUAACUGGCAACCUUUACAGCAUAAGUGAAUAAAGUUAUCACCCACACAGUGUCAGGGGAUCCUUU
This is an RNA transcript of Haliotis rubra (blacklip abalone), 1030 nucleotides long. It is a transcript of the gene named ganglioside GM2 activator-like, with no coding region annotated. The record is from RefSeq and is a predicted model, not a curated record. NCBI's taxonomy places the organism in Eukaryota, Metazoa, Mollusca, Gastropoda, Lepetellida, Haliotidae. The transcript is spliced from 5 exons.